Molecule: transfer RNA, 88 nt
Filed under: Escherichia coli
Lineage: Bacteria; Pseudomonadati; Pseudomonadota; Gammaproteobacteria; Enterobacterales; Enterobacteriaceae
Description: tRNA-Ser
Rfam family: tRNA
About the family: Transfer RNA (tRNA) molecules are approximately 80 nucleotides in length. Their secondary structure includes four short double-helical elements and three loops (D, anti-codon, and T loops).
Source: RNAcentral
GGUGAGGUGUCCGGGUGGCUGAAGGACCCCGCCUAGAAAGUGUGUAUACGGCAACGUAUCGGGGGUUCGAACCCCCCCCCCACCGCCA